RNAcentral lists this ribosomal RNA (301 nucleotides) under uncultured bacterium. RNAcentral describes it as "partial 16S ribosomal RNA". It matches the Rfam family "Bacterial small subunit ribosomal RNA", at positions 509 to 807 of the family's 1533-position model. The record is from RNAcentral.
CAGCAGCCGCGGUAAGACAGAGGAUGCAAGCAUUAUCCGGAAUGAUUGGGCGUAAAGUGUCUGUAGGUGGCUUUUCAAGUCCGCCGUCAAAUCCCAGGGCUCAACCCUGGACAGGUGGUGGAAACUACCAAGCUGGAGUAUGGUAGGGGCAGAGGGAAUUUCCGGUGGAGCGGUGAAAUGCAUUGAGAUCGGAAAGAACACCAACGGCGAAAGCACUCUGCUGGGCCGACAUUGACACUGAGAGACGAAAGCUAGGGGAGCAAAUGGGAUUAGAUACCCCUGUAGUCCCUGUCUCUUAUAC